GCUUCCGUAGUGUAGUCCGGUCAAAUUGAUCAUUAAACUUCUUUUGAAAAGACUAAGCAUGCGAGGCUCUCACCCUCGUGACCCGGGUUCGAAUCCCGGCGGAAGCA
RNAcentral lists this transfer RNA (107 nucleotides) under Promethearchaeota archaeon. Its description in RNAcentral is "Candidatus Lokiarchaeota archaeon (permafrost metagenome) tRNA-Glu". It matches the Rfam family "tRNA". From Rfam's summary of the family: Transfer RNA (tRNA) molecules are approximately 80 nucleotides in length. Their secondary structure includes four short double-helical elements and three loops (D, anti-codon, and T loops). Lineage: Archaea; Promethearchaeati; Promethearchaeota. The record is from RNAcentral.